This 253-nucleotide ribosomal RNA is filed under the name uncultured bacterium. RNAcentral describes it as "partial 16S ribosomal RNA". It matches the Rfam family "Bacterial small subunit ribosomal RNA", at positions 524 to 776 of the family's 1533-position model. The record is from RNAcentral.
UACGUAGGGGGCGAGCGUUAUCCGGAUUUACUGGGCGUAAAGCGCGUGUAGGUGGUUGCGCAAGUUGGAUGUGAAAUCUCCCGGCUCAACCGGGAAACUGCAGCCAAUACUGCGUGGCUAGAGUGGCAGAGAGGAAAGUGGAAUUCCCGGUGUAGUAGUGAAAUGCGUAGAUAUCGGGAGGAACACCAGCGGCGAAGGCGACUUUCUGGCUGCCAACUGACACUGAGACGCGAAAGCUAGGGGAGCGAACGGG